This 975-nucleotide non-coding RNA is filed under the name Pan troglodytes (chimpanzee). Lineage: Eukaryota; Metazoa; Chordata; Mammalia; Primates; Hominidae. The record is from RNAcentral.
CCGAGAAGGAGUCAGUCAGAGAGCCUUGGGCCAGAGUUCCAGGGGCUCUGGGAGUGGCUGCCAGCUUGUGUUCAUCCAGCUCUUUCGACUCUGUCCAUGAACACUCUAUCUCCUCUCAACAAUGAUUUGGGCUGUGUUUUGGAUCCAGCUGCUUAAGAAGGAAUGACUGAGGAGAAGUCAAUUGGGCCAAAAUUAUUCUAGGAGGUAACCAGAGAUGACCUUGUACUGUGAGAGGAUUUGACCCUGGCAUGUGAAAUGGCAGACGAGAGCUAGAAAGAGUCAAGGAAACAUUUCUUUUGAGCUAUUGUCAACUUUUAACAAGGAAGUAUACUCCUAUGAACAAAAUUUGGAGCAUAUUUGUUUCUUUCUACCUGAUUUCUCCAGAAUUUGGGAACUAUUUGGAUGCAUUCUCACCAUGCUGCAAGGCUGCUCUCGGACUUCUGGCCUCAAGCAAUCUGCCCACCGCGUCCUCCCAAAGUGCUGGAUGGAAUUACAGACAGACAAACUGAACUGCUUCCAAAUAGCCUCAAUUACCUGGAUCCCAACAGUCAAGAAUUGUUGUUAAGGCACUUCGGAGAAGGUCAGUCCAAGCAGUACGGCUCUUUUCUGCCCGGGCCAUGGGAGAAGAUAAUAUUCCUUUUAGAGCCUGUAGGGAAGCUGCAACUGUCGAAGAUAACUGGCCCCCAGGUAAUUUCACAGCAGUCUCUCUGAGGACCCCGAUUGUGAGGUACAAUAUAGUAGGGAGAAUUGAGAUGCUUCCUGUAAGAUACAUUUUUUAAAAACACACUGGAUUUCAACCUAUAUAUAUGGUUCCUAAAAAGAAAUCAUCAAGGAGUAAGACAAUGUCAGAUUUUUAGUUUUUAAAAGAUGAUUUCUAAUAAAGAAUUAUAACUGUUAAGAUAAUGUAAGUAGCUUUAUUAAAAUUUUUACGGAUGGAUUAAAUCUUGAUGGUUAUAACUGGAGAUGACGUUUAAA